AUACUUACCUGGCAGUGGAGAUACCGAUGAUCACGAAGGUGGUUUUCCCAGUGUGAGACCAGUCCAUUGCACUCCAGAUGUGCUGACCCCUGCCAUUUCGCCAAACGUGGGAAAUUCGACUACGUAAUUUGUGGUAGUGGGAAACUGUAUUUCCGCUUUCCUC
This is a small nuclear RNA of Callithrix jacchus (white-tufted-ear marmoset), 163 nucleotides long. Its record names the gene U1. It matches the Rfam family "U1 spliceosomal RNA". Rfam says of the family: U1 is a small nuclear RNA (snRNA) component of the spliceosome (involved in pre-mRNA splicing). Its 5' end forms complementary base pairs with the 5' splice junction, thus defining the 5' donor site of an intron. There are significant differences in sequence and secondary structure between metazoan and yeast U1 snRNAs, the latter being much longer (568 nucleotides as compared to 164 nucleotides in human). NCBI's taxonomy places the organism in Eukaryota, Metazoa, Chordata, Mammalia, Primates, Cebidae. The record is from Ensembl.